AGAAUCAACGCUGGCGGCGUGCCUAACACAUGCAAGUCGCACGAGAAAGGGACUUCGGUCCUGAGUACAGUGGCGCACGGGUGAGUAACACGUGAAUAAUCUACCUCCGAGUGGGGAAUAACUGAGAGAAAUCUUAGCUAAUACCGCAUAACACUUACGAGUCAAAGCAGCAAUGCGCUUGGAGAGGAGUUCGCGGCAGAUUAGUUAGUUGGCGGGGUAAUGGCCCACCAAGACGAUGAUCUGUAUCCGGCCUGAGAGGGCGCACGGACACACUGGAACUGAAACACGGUCCAGACUCCUACGGGAGGCAGCAGUGGGGAAUUUUGCGCAAUGGGGGAAACCCUGACGCAGCAACGCCGCGUGGAGGAUGAAAUCCCUUGGGAUGUAAACUCCCUUCGAUCGGGAAGAUAAUGACGGUACCGAGAGAAGAAGCCCGGCUAACUCGCGCCAGCAGCCGC
Molecule: ribosomal RNA, 458 nt
Filed under: uncultured bacterium
Lineage: Bacteria
Description: SSU rRNA
Rfam family: Bacterial small subunit ribosomal RNA
Source: RNAcentral